CCUACGGGAGGCAGCAGUGAGGAAUAUUGGUCAAUGGACGAGAGUCUGAACCAGCCAAGUAGCGUGAAGGAUGACUGCCCUAUGGGUUGUAAACUUCUUUUAUAUGGGAAUAAAAUGUUCCACGUGUGGGAUUUUGUAUGUACCAUAUGAAUAAGGAUCGGCUAACUCCGUUCCAGCAGCCGCGGUAAUACGGAGGAUCCGAGCGUUAUCCGGAUUUAUUGGGUUUAAAGGGAGCGUAGGUGGAUUGUUAAGUCAGUUGUGAAAGUUUGCGGCUCAACCGUAAAAUUGCAGUUGAAACUGGCAGUCUUGAGUACAGUAGAGGUGGGCGGAAUUCGUGGUGUAGCGGUGAAAGGCUUAGAUAUCACGAAGAACUCCGAUUGCGAAGGCAGCUCACUGGACUGCAACUGACACUGAGGCUCGAAAGUGUGGGUAUCAAACAGGAUUAGAUACCCUUGUAGUC
Molecule: ribosomal RNA, 460 nt
Filed under: uncultured bacterium
Lineage: Bacteria
Description: partial 16S ribosomal RNA
Rfam family: Bacterial small subunit ribosomal RNA
Source: RNAcentral